CAGUCGCACGGGAAUACGUAGGGCGCAAGCGUUAUCCGGAAUUAUUGGGCGUAAAGAGCUCGUAGGCGGUUUGUCGCGUCUGCCGUGAAAGUCCGGGGCUCAACCCCGGAUCUGCGGUGGGUACGGGCAGACUAGAGUGAUGUAGGGGAGACUGGAAUUCCUGGUGUAGCGGUGAAAUGCGCAGAUAUCAGGAGGAACACCGAUGGCGAAGGCAGGUCUCUGGGCAUUAACUGACGCUGAGGAGCGAAAGCAUGGGGAGCGAACAGGAUUAGAUACCCCCGUAGUCCCUGUCUCUUAUACA
RNAcentral lists this ribosomal RNA (301 nucleotides) under uncultured bacterium. RNAcentral describes it as "partial 16S ribosomal RNA". It matches the Rfam family "Bacterial small subunit ribosomal RNA", at positions 509 to 808 of the family's 1533-position model. The record is from RNAcentral.